RNAcentral lists this transfer RNA (20 nucleotides) under Pseudomonas aeruginosa. Its description in RNAcentral is "partial tRNA-Gly". Lineage: Bacteria; Pseudomonadati; Pseudomonadota; Gammaproteobacteria; Pseudomonadales; Pseudomonadaceae. The record is from RNAcentral.
GAUUCCCUUCGCCCGCUCCA